RNAcentral lists this ribosomal RNA (551 nucleotides) under Chryseobacterium sp. RNAcentral describes it as "bacterial SSU rRNA". It matches the Rfam family "Bacterial small subunit ribosomal RNA", at positions 111 to 661 of the family's 1533-position model. Lineage: Bacteria; Pseudomonadati; Bacteroidota; Flavobacteriia; Flavobacteriales; Weeksellaceae. The record is from RNAcentral.
GAACACGUGUGCAACCUGCCUUUAUCAGGGGGAUAGCCUUUCGAAAGGAAGAUUAAUACCCCAUAAUAUUUAGAAUGGCAUCAUUUUAAAUUGAAAACUCCGGUGGAUAGAGAUGGGCACGCGCAAGAUUAGAUAGUUGGUGAGGUAACGGCUCACCAAGUCUGCGAUCUUUAGGGGGCCUGAGAGGGUGAUCCCCCACACUGGUACUGAGACACGGACCAGACUCCUACGGGAGGCAGCAGUGAGGAAUAUUGGACAAUGGGUGGGAGCCUGAUCCAGCCAUCCCGCGUGAAGGACGACGGCCCUAUGGGUUGUAAACUUCUUUUGUAUAGGGAUAAACCUACCCUCGUGAGGGUAGCUGAAGGUACUAUACGAAUAAGCACCGGCUAACUCCGUGCCAGCAGCCGCGGUAAUACGGAGGGUGCAAGCGUUAUCCGGAUUUAUUGGGUUUAAAGGGUCCGUAGGCGGAUCUGUAACUCAGUGGUGAAAUCUCACAGCUUAACUGUGAAACUGCCAUUGAUACUGCAGGUCUUGAGUGUUGUUGAAAUAGC